GGCUUCCUGAGAACUAAACUGGGUCUUACUCAUCUUUGUACCCCUGCACAGUAUCUAGGACAUAGAAGAGGCUAAAUACAUACAGAUUAAAUGAGUAGAUGAGAGAAUAAUUUCUGGACACCAAAUGUCAAGAGGAAUAUAGAUGGCCUGUAUGGGGCAAAGGACUUAAAGGAAAGGAUCGGGAGAUCUGGUCUUGUGGGAACAAUUAAUCCAGAGUCUUGUCCACCAGAGAAGAUGCAAAGCAGGGCACAAGGUUUAGCCAAGUCCUUGGAGAUCCAGGUAACACUGAGUUUUACUUCACACUUGAAGAUCAAGAGCACUGGACAGGUGGCUGCUCUAUAGCUGUGAAUAACAUAACAUCCAUCUCCAACCAGAUGAAACACUGAGAGAAAUUGAUGAUUUCUUAUUCUAAGAAGGUUCAUCGGGGCUCUUGCUCCAUGUUUCUGCAAUGUACUUGACCUCCUGUGUCUCGGCUUUGCCACUGGAUGCUGCAGGAAUUCUUGGUCUCCUAUCUAGGUAUGAAUACACUCAGAGGAAGGCAAAGGACCUGUCUUCCUGUUUCUCUGUCUAAGGAGGGGAGGAAUCAUUCCCUGUGAGUCCCCGCAGUCUUCUGUCAGCAUUCUUGCAUCAGUGACGGGCAAGAGAAUGGGAUUGUUGAGACAGCUCCAUUAGAGCAACUCCAUGAGCACUACAGGCUUUCUCUAAGGGGCUGCUGCAAAACCCCCCAGGAGCAUCUGCCCUGAGCCUCAGCCUGUACCAAGCAGGGUCAUGGAGAAACAAAGGAAGGGCCCCCACCACCCUGCCCAGGGGCUCACCGUGCAAGGAGGCAAAGCAAGAACAACAUAGACUGGUAACUGCCUGGGCAACACCUGGGCUUGCUCCUUCCCAGCUUCUGGCUGCAUGGUCUCUGGAGCAGGACGACGACGACCCUUGGACAAGCUGCAGACUUGGCUGGGCCUACAAGAAGGCUUUUCCCUGGGGCCCAGAGCAGAGGUAGAACUGGGAUGGACACUCAUGGCACAGUGUGGAACCAAGUAGGGAGAGGUGCGAUAAAGACUUCCUCUUCUUUGGACCAACAAUGACCAGGACAUUUCAGCCCAGAGCAGGCUGGUUCCUAGACUGAGCUGUCUGGUUAGAUGGUGCCAGGGGCCCUGGCCUGAUGGCAGCCAGAUGGUGAGCACAAGGAAGCCCUUGCAAAGGGAAGAAGCUCCCUUUGUCCACUUGAGGGCUGCCAGAGAACCCUGGGGAGAGCAGCACGCCCUCAAAGUGACCACCAGGGGGCUCCAGGAGACCCCGUGGGAGCUGCUUCCGGAAGAGAGCCUUCAGUGAUCCCCUGGCCUGGCACUCAGCCCUAGAACAUAUGACAGAACCUAAAACCAACCAGCAGAUGGUGAGCAACCUGCCUGCACAGGUAUGUGAUGGAGGCUGAAGGAGUUGUCUUCCAACAGGGGAAUUUCUUUCUCAUGCAAAAGUUUGACACAGGUCCACCCGGCUCCAAGAUCUUGUUGACAUGGCCCGGGCAGACCAACACUGUGUUCCCAUUAGCUGAUCUGUACACACAGCACUCUGUCACCAACCAUCCAGAGAUUGGCGAAGGCUAAAACCAACCAAGAUCCUGAGAGACAAACACAAGUUUCAUUCAUAGUCUCAAUCUGGCCAAAUGUAGUUGUUGGCAAUUCCUUGCAGAUAAUUAAAGAGACAGAUCAUAUUUUGCCUAAAAUAACUAAAGAAUUGAAGGAAUAAAACCAUUAGUUCCAGGGCAAAGGAGACCUGCAGGUUAUGAUGUGUCAACUUGUCAUUAGCUGAAUAAGGGCCUAAGGGCAAGGGCAGCAUGUCCCCCUUUGGGAGGAAGGCUUCCCCAGGGCAGAGUCUCUGGCCCCUGCUGGACCCCACCUACCACACUGGGCCAGGAGAUGCUCUGGGACCAUUAGAGAGACCUGCUGGCUGGGGCUCCUGGAGUGGGCCACGGCUGUGAGCCCUGCACCCCUGCAGUAGCCCCGGUGAAAGACAGCCCAAGGCAGCCCCCAGCUCUCAGCAGCAUCUGGUCCUCUCUGGACAGCCCUGACCCUGAGGCCACAACAGAACGUUAUCCCACCCAGAAUGUCUGGCACCCAGCGCUGCUACCAGCUCUUCUCUGGUCAGCAUUUCCAAGAGCCAGAUGCUUCCAGGACACAAGCCUCCUCUCCCUAAGGAGAGCGCAUGCCACUUGCCUCCAGCCUCUGCUUCCUUCCCAGAACUAGCAGGUCUCCCCAACUCCCUGGGGUCCCCAAUGCCAACCGUGGUCACUUCUCCAUGCUACUCUCAGCUUGAUGCCUUCCAGCUUCUUGGACCACUUUUCAGCCUGGGUUAACCGUGUGCCAAGCCUGUCCUGGGCAUGGGGAACCCAGAAGCAGGCUACCCUCCAUCAACUUCCUAUUCAAGCUGAUGACAGCCUCAGGAAUCCUCUUGAGGCUUUGCUUACCAGAGACCUGUCCUAGAACACAAAGCCUAGUAGAGCCCAAAGACUACGGCUGAGGUCAGGCUGUUGGGGCAAGGAGGGACAGUAAGAAUUAAGUUUGCCUGGAAUAGGGCUGUCAGAUUGUUUGGAGUAUGGACCAGGAAGCUGCAAAGUGGGUGAGAAGGAAAAGGCUAGGCUCUGGGCUGGCUCUCAAAGUCUGGUUGGGUUCAGAGAGGAAGCACAUUGAUCAAACUCACACUGAACUAAGCAGGCCUCACAUGUGGGUUCUAGCCCACAAUCUAGCACUCACUCACUCACUCACUCACUCAGUCACUCACAUACUCACUCCCAGGCCUUAGCUUCCUCCACUGAAAAGGAUGCCCCCUGCCCCUGUCCUCCUCCAGGAAUAUAGUGAGGAUUACAAGAAAUCGAAAAGAUUUUAUUCUCCAGCUCACACUUACACACCUGCAGGACAGGGAGCUCACCACCUCUCAGGUGGUGUCUUCCCUGAGCGGCUCGCCUAAAGUGCAUGGGGAAACCAGAGAAAGAAGAACCGAUACCGUUCGGGUUUUCACUUGGAGACUGCGUCUCCAUUAAAAUCAGGACUAUGACUAGACAAAGGACAAACCCCAGAAAGCCAGAUGGUAAUGCUGCCUUUGGAGACUUCCCUGAACAAUUUCCUCAGAACUGCCCAAACACUUCCCUAGCCUCGACCUGCUAUCCCCUUGCCCAGUAGCAUCUGCACGGGUGCUCAGGUCUGAGACCCCUGCAAUCACUCUGAAGCCACCCAUCAGAAAAGCUGAAUGGAUUCUGCUUGUGGAGCCAUGGCUGUGCCCUGAGCUGCCCCAGGCAGGGUGAGAGAUGUCUCCUCCAGGCCCAGGGGACAAACCCCUGAGAGUUUGAGGAAGAGCCCCCUAGAAGUGCGGGCAUUUGGGGCAGCCCAGGGGACUGGGAUGAGAAGCAGGCAGCAAAGGCAGGCAGCUGGUUCAGACCCGUGGCAGGAAGUCCCAACCAAGAUUCAUCCUGGAAAAAUGCAACUAAUGCUGCACAGCUGGGGCCACUAAUCAGAAACACAGGCCCAGAGGUGGCAGCAGGGACAGGCCCAGAGGGCAGGGCGGACAGCGAGGUGAUAAUUGGCAGCAAACUCUAGGUCCGUCUCCCCACCCUCUCCGGCUGGCUGCCGUUUGGAGACUUUGGAGACUGCAGUCUGAGAGGGCAGCUUCUCCCCAGCCCUGUCUGCCUGGAGGUGGACGCACGGCUCACUCAUAGCCCUCACAUCCCCUAAAACAAUAGCUGAAACCUUGGCCUAGUCUCCAGAGGCUGAAGCCUGGGGUGGUCACCUUUACCUCUGGAGUCCUCUUCCCAGGUGACAGCUCUUCCCAAGCCCCUGGGGCCCGAGUCCCUUCUCCCAGCACAGCGUAGCCUCAGGAGAAGUUCUGAGACGAGCCUUUUGGCCCUCAGUGGGCUCCUUCUCAAACUGGGCACAGGUUCUGUCCCCUGGGAAAGGCAUGAAAAGGGGGGGUUCCUGGGGUGAGGUUAUGGGCAGAGAGGUGAAGGACUGGGCUGGGCCAGAACCCCUGAGAGUGCCAUUUCCUUGAGCUGCUCUUACCAAGCUCCUGCUGUUACCUGUGUCCCAGGCAUGGGGUUAUGAGGUAAUGUUUGCACUCUCUGCCCUCAGGGGGCUCACAGUCUCAUUGGAGAGAAACAAGGGAAGAGGAGAUGUGGAGGUCACGGCAGGGACAGGACAGUCUCUGAGAGCAGAGGGCUAGGGAGGGGCACUGCCCAGGAACAGGACACACGGGCUGCCCACUGGGAUUCUCUAGGACCUCAGGUGCUCUACUGGAUCUCACACCCCCACCCCACCCCCAUCCUUUCCCCAAACUUUCCUUCUGCCCUCAGCUAUAUCCGCUCCGGGUGAGCCCUCUGCCACACACAGAUGGCAGGCCAUGCCUGGGAAGAUGGAGAGCCCUCUGCGUCAGGCAAGAAGCCAGGCCUUGCAGACCCUCACACCUCACAGCUCCCUCACUCUGGCCUAGACAAAUCCUCUGCUGCCUGUCUCAGGCUGUCACUGGCUUGAAUUUGCUGGCAGCUCCUCUUGUGGUUAAGACCCUUUCUUUAGCUACUCAGACUGUCUAAAGAGGCACCCUGGGGAGGCAGAAGUCUUCUGAGCCUCCAGAACACCCUGAUGGAAUCACCAGACUGGCCACAACUUGCCCCUCCCCAACCCUCCACAAGCCCUGUUUUCCUGUUACCUAUGGAAUUGACUCUGCGGUGUCAGUCUUGUACAAGUUAAAGAAAGCUUGGGAGGAGUGAGCCAGGGGGUCUUCAGUGGAGUUUGAGAAGUGGAAGUAGAAGGGAUGGGAGGA
Molecule: long non-coding RNA, 4803 nt
Organism: Canis lupus familiaris (dog)
Lineage: Eukaryota; Metazoa; Chordata; Mammalia; Carnivora; Canidae
Exons: 6
Source: RefSeq, a predicted model, not a curated record